UUGGUGCAGCACGCAGUGGAUUACGCUGCGUGUGUUUAGGACUGUGUUUUAUUUCUGUUGUUUGGGUGGGUGGCCCACCUGGCCCCCAUCUGCCCCCGCCCAGGCUGUGAGCGAGUGCUGCUGUGCUGGGCCUGAAGCCCCUUGCCUGGACUUGAGUUGAAGACACCGACAGAAGAAGACGUCUGACAGACUUUCUCCACCUUCUUUGAUCUCCCUCUGUUUUCUUGGGCUUUUUCCAAUUAUGCUAUGUGGACUGCAAACUGGAACUCUCGAAGAGAUUGCCAGAGGCUGAUGUCUUCCUAAUUGGUGACCUGCAAAGAGUCCAGUAUACUCGGAACGGAUUCAAGCGCUGAGAUGAUUUGUGUUAUCCAAGGGUGAAACAACAACAGAACUUUGGGCUAUUAAGAAGCUUUGCAUCCUGUAUUUCCGUCUGCAAAAUUGCAUAUAAAAUGACAUAAAACUGCUCAGUUAUGAUGCAAAUGGACCACAAGAUAAAAAUACAAGCUGCUCGUCUUGGAGUUUUCCAUCAACAAUGAUGUACUUACAUUUGCAUAUGGCAAUUGCCCUGCACUUCAGCUAUCAACAUACUCUGGUGUGAUGGAUUCAUUCAAACUUUCCAUAUUCUUCUGAGCACCCUGUGCAUUGUCAAUGGCUUUUGUGCACAAAGCAAAAACAAAGGAGAUUUCAACCAAAACAAGGGCAUGGACCCUGCCCCUAAUGAGAGGUAAACAACCCUGUAGGGAAAGGGAGAGACCACCCACACAAGGUUACCCAUGCCCUUAAAGUAGCUCAUGAAACAACAUGUUGGGAAAUAAAACUAAAUGUGCAUAA
Molecule: long non-coding RNA, 831 nt
Organism: Hemicordylus capensis (graceful crag lizard)
Lineage: Eukaryota; Metazoa; Chordata; Lepidosauria; Squamata; Cordylidae
Exons: 3
Source: RefSeq, a predicted model, not a curated record